Molecule: ribosomal RNA, 735 nt
Filed under: uncultured Clavulina
Lineage: Eukaryota; Fungi; Basidiomycota; Agaricomycetes; Cantharellales; Hydnaceae
Description: partial 28S ribosomal RNA
Rfam family: Eukaryotic large subunit ribosomal RNA
Source: RNAcentral
GAAUCCCGUCCUUGACACAGACUCCCAGCACUUUUGUGAUGCGCUCUCGACGAGUCGAGUUGUUUGGGAUUGCAGCUCAAAAUGGGAGGUAAAUUCCUUCUAAAGCUAAAUAUUGGCGAGAGACCGAUAGCGAACAAGUACCGUGAGGGAAAGAUGAAAAGCACUUUGGAAAGAGAGUUAAACAGUACGUGAAAUUGUUAAAAGGGAAACGCUUGAAGUCAGUCACGUUUGCUUGGACUCAGCCUUACUUCGGUUUGGUGCAUUUCCUUGCAGACGGGCCAGCGUCCAUGUCAAUUGCCGGAAAAGGGGUGAGAGAAUGUGGCUCCUUUGGGAGUGUUAUAGCUCUCACUCGUAUGCGGGGAAUGAUAUGGAGUGGUACAGCACACUUCGGUGGUGCUUGUGCUGGCAUAAUGGCUUUAAACGACCCGUCUUGAAACACGGACCAAGGAGUCUAACAUGUCUGCGAGUAUUUGGGUGGAAAACCCAGGUGCGUAAUGAAAGUGACAGCUGGGAACCCCUUCUGGGAGGCACCGGCACCCCGAGCUGACCUUCUGUGACGCAUCGGAGGCAGAGCAUAUAUGUUGGGACCCGAAAGAUGGUGAACUAUGCCUGAAUAGGGCGAAGCCAGAGGAAACUCUGGUGGAGGCUCGUAGCGAUUCUGACGUGCAAAUCGAUCGUCAAAUUUGGGUAUAGGGGCGAAAGACUAAUCGAACCAUCUAGUAGCUGGUUCCUGCC